GACUCCGUAGCUUUAAGGAAUAGAAGCGCCCGUCUAGCGAAUUGGGAGUCGUGAGUUCGAAUCUCACCGGAGUAC
Molecule: non-coding RNA, 75 nt
Organism: Aedes albopictus (Asian tiger mosquito)
Lineage: Eukaryota; Metazoa; Arthropoda; Insecta; Diptera; Culicidae
Source: Rfam